AUGUUGGCCACCGGCGAGCUGCAAUCCCUGGCUCCCCAGCUGGAUUUCCUCGAGCUGGCCAAGCUUCUCCGGCUCAAGGUCGCCGGAGAGCCAUUUCCUCACAGCUUCAUCCACGAGCUGAACGCCUACUCCGCUGCCCCCGCGGACCUCGUCCGCGGCCGUGACCCCGCUCCGGGCACCGGCCAAGCUGGCGACGGCAAAGGGAUGGCGUGGUACUUCUACAGCCCCGUCAAUUGGCACGACAGCGCGGGUGGCGCGCCGAGGCGGAACCGCCAGGUCGGCGGCGGCGGAGAGCGGAGGUUCUGGCACCCGGAGGGUGGCGAGAAGCCCAUUCUGGGCCCGGACAGUAAACCCGUUGGGGCGUACUGGCGCACGCUCUCGUACGUGCUCAAGAUCAAUAAUCCGCCAGGUGCUAAAAAAUCAUUCAGAAACAAAAGGCUGGGCUGGUGCAUGGUCGAGAUUGGCCUCCAGCAGCAGCAGGACGGCGCCGCCGGCCAGCAGUGGGAGCUCUGCAAGGUGUACAGGUCGCCCUCGCCUCGCAGUACGGCGGAUCCGGUCGAAACAUCCACGGCCGCCGCCGCCGGCGCACAGGGCAUCCUCCCGGCUGCCGGUAACGGCGUAUCUGGAGCUGAAGGCCGGCCGCAUGACUCGGCGCUGGAGGGCGAAGCGAUUCCGGAGGUGCUCGGCGGCGAUAUGCCAUGUCCUCCGGCACCGCCAUCUGCUUUGUGUGACUACAAUGUCCAUUUCCCCGGGGUCAACCGGAGCCCAGCUCUCCUCAUCGCCCCCGCCUCCAUACACGGAACUCUUGCAAUUAUGAAGAAGACCGAUGCUGCGUCGGCGGCGGCAACCGUCGUAAUGAAGCUCGAUGGUUCAUCGAUACCGUCGGCCGAGCGGAUGAAGGAGAUGGCCAACCUCGUCCUCGGUUUCGAGAGUCCGGUGGUUGUUGUGUCGGCCAUGGGGAACACCGCCAGCAACAUUCUCCUGGCCGCAUGGAAGGCACUGAGCUGCGACCUCCAAGAGGCGAGCGAAAUCGACGAGUUCAAGAACAUAAGGGAGCUGCAUCUCAGGACGGUUGAUGAGCUUGGAUUAGAUAGCUCAACUGUUUCAGGUUCACUGGAUCAGCUGGAACAACAUCUUCAGUAUGCAGCUAUGACAAAAGAGAUGACUUCUAUGACACGAGAUUGCCUUGUUUCUGUCUGUGAAGGCACGUCUACGAAAAUGUUUUUCGAGUAUCUAAAUAAACUUGGGAAAGGAGCGGUACAGGAAUGGGAAUUGCAUACCGUCGCUGCUUUUGGAAGUGAUGGAAAUGACUUGGCUGCAGCUAUCAUUGGCAGAGACUUGGGAUUAGAAGAAAUACAGGUUUGGAAGGAUCAAGACAUCUUCACGUGCGAUACUAAUGUUUGUGCAAAGGCAAUACCAGUACCCUACUUGACUUUUGAUGAGGCAGCUGAACUUGGGUUCUUUAGCGCACAGUCAAUCCAACUGGCUACGGAAUGUGGAAUAUCAGUAAGAGUUAAGAACUCGUUCAAUCCUGAAGCACCGGGUACUCUGAUUACUAAGACAAGAGAUACAACCAAGAGUGCAUUAUCCAGCAUUGCGUUGAAAUCAAAUAUUACCAUUCUGGACAUACAGAGGACAGGUACUCUGGACCAGAGUGCUUUUGUAGAAAAGGCCAUUUCAAAAUUUAAAUAUUUUGAAUAUUUGGGCAUCUCUGUCGAUUGGGUGGCUACUAGUGAAAAUAUGUCAUUUACACUAGUUCCGUCAAAACCUUUGAGUCAGGAUUUGAUCCAGCUGGCGCUUGAUAAUGCAGUUAAAGAACUUGGAAAAAUUGCAACUGUUCAUCAACGACAGGACAUAUCAGCCAUCUGCCUAAUAGGGAACCCGCAGAUGUCGUUACCCAUUCUUGGGAAGGUGCUCAAUGUUCUAGGGAGCAACAAUUUUGAUAUUGAGAAGGUCCCCCGAGGGUCGCCCAAGGUGGCGAAUGUUUCUUUGGUUGUCCGUGACAAUGCGGCAGAACGCUGUGUACAACUCCUCCAUUCUGUAUUCUUUGAGCUUAACGGCUGCCCGGUCCCGGUGAACUCACAAGCUGCAGCAUCGGGCUCGAGCGACAAGAGAAAGGCGGAUGGCGACCACCCGGAUGCUCCAACGGGCGUGCGUCGGGAAAUGGCGGAGACGGAAUCCCUGGUUCCUGAAGAGUUGGAGCGCUCGUUGUUGUCGAACGACGAAACUCUGCAGUUGGAGUUCCAAAAGUUUCUUUCGGACGAUCGAAACUACGAACCAUCUGGUUUACUGGAUAACGUGUGGACUCAUCAGGAUGAUGAACCACCAAGCUACGUGUGGACUCAUCAGGAUGAUGAACUACCAAGCUACGUGUUCCAGACUCAUCAGGAUGAUGAACCACCAAGCUACGUGUUCCAGACGCAAGGGGGGCCGCCGCCGCGUAGGUUGAGGCUUCUCUACGGCGUACCCUCCAGCCACCGCUUGCAAGAGGUGCUCAAUGUUCCACCGCGGACGCCUCAAGAAGUCGGCGCACUCAUCCGCAUUCACCGCGGGGUGCGCUCGCGAAUGUGCCUGGCCAUCUCAUUUUUUCAAAAUAUGGAUUAUUUGGGCAUCUCUAUCAAUUGGGUGGCUACUAGUGAAGGCAAGAUGCCGCUUACACUUGUUACAUCAGAACUGUUGAGUCAGGCAUUGAUCCAACCGGCGCUUGAAGAGGCAGGCAAAGAGCUUCAGAAUACCCCAGCCGUUCAUGGACUGUACAACAGAUCAGUCAUUUCCUUGACAGGGAACGCCCAGUUGUCGCCAAGCAAUCUUCGAAAGGUGCUCAAUGUUCUAGGGAGCAGCCCUGUUGUGGUCGAGAAGGUAUCUCAAGGCUCGUCCAAGGUGGCUAAGAUUUCCUUGGUGGUCCAUGGCAAUGUGGCGCAACACUAUGGAGAAGUCCUCCGUUCAGCAUUCUUUAAGAACCCAGUGGAUUCAUCCGCGCCGUCAAGCUACGGCGUCAAGAAGAACACAGAGGAUCCACCCUCCGGCGGGUUCUCUGAAGCCGGGAUCAGUAAGAUAUCCGAAAGGGUGCGUCGCCUGGCAAUCGACUAA
This 3090-nucleotide ribosomal RNA is filed under the name Triticum aestivum (bread wheat). Its description in RNAcentral is "partial small subunit ribosomal RNA". The record is from RNAcentral. Lineage: Eukaryota; Viridiplantae; Streptophyta; Magnoliopsida; Poales; Poaceae.